Long non-coding RNA from Homo sapiens (human), 1925 nucleotides. The record is from Ensembl. Lineage: Eukaryota; Metazoa; Chordata; Mammalia; Primates; Hominidae.
GGCUCUGGUGUCCGGGCUUACUCCUGUUCCUUCAUCGUCUUAGAAAUAGGGACUUGGAGGCAAACAGUCCCAUUACAAUGACGAAGACUACUCUCAACAUGAUGCACCCAAAUGAAUGCAUUUACCAGUUUGAUGUCUGCCUUUCUUCCUGGUUUGUUGCAUUCCGUAGAAGCAGAUCCUGAUAAGAUGAUGAAGUGCACAUGUCUCUUGAGAAAAUGCUCUCAGGAGAAGGGGGGAAGGUAAGCCAGGUGCAGCAGAGGACUGAGCAAGGUUGGGGUCUCAGCUGGACACUUCUUGGACCUGUUCCCACGGGAGCUCUGGAGUAUGAACUGUACCACAGAAUUGUCUCACCUAGAGGGAGAAGCUUACUGCUGUUUUCAUGGCUCUGCAUGCCCGGGGAAAGAGGAAGGCCACAGGAAGGUGACAGCUGAGGCAGGUCUGGCUCCUGGAGGAUGGGACACACAACGUGGGAACCGGCAAGUCACCAGAGUCAUCUCAGCCAAGAUCAACCAAUAGUCAAUUACCAGGAACGUGAGAGAAUUCUGAGACCAGGACUGCUCAGCCACCUCUGCCUAAAAUACCAACACACAGAACAGUAAAGUGAAUGGAUGUUUAUUAUCCUAAGCCACUAUAUUUUGAGAUUGUACCUCAUGCAGCACUAUUAUGACCAUAGGUGACUGAUAUAAAAAGUAAGGAAUUAUGAAUCAUAAGAAAAAGAUGAACCAAGGAAAGAAUCAGCUUUGAAGAGGUGGUAAACUAUGGGAGUUGGGUAUGCUUUUCUGCAAUGAUCUUGUCUUAUUUUCUUUUUUUUUAAAGGAAGGCCUACCUGAAUAAUUCUGUGCAGGAAGAUAAAAGCAAGAUUAGAGUGAGACCUAUUCAGGGAGGUGUCAUUUUGUGAGCAGUUCAUGACCAUACCCAAUAAUCAGGGUCUGUCUACAUAUCUGAAUUUUAAUCCUUACAUAUAUGGCCUUAGAUGAACUAAAAUAAUUAUAAGAAGUUGUGUCAUUGUAGACUUCUAUUAAUAAACAUAUACCUACAUAUAUACAUGUUUAUGCACAAGAAUCAGCCUGUAUAGGCAUAUUUACCUAGGCAUAUUCAUUGCAUAGUGCUCUCAUGGUUGUGACUUGGGUGGGUGUAGCAAAGUGACAGGCCAGGAUCUCACCACAUAGGAAGAACUUUGGUCUGGCCAAGACAGGGCCAGCUAGUGGCCUCCCUGCCAUUAGCUCUGUCUGCCACCCAAGACAGAAGAAGCCAACAGUCCAAAGGGACAUAGCAGCUUCAUUUUGGUUCUAGUUAGUGGUGCCAUAGAAGAGGAACAGGCAGAUAGGAUCUCAUCUAGGCCAUGAGACAAGCAAGAGUUCUCAAGAAGGGUAGACUCUUAGAAACAGGAGGCCAGUGAGACAUGGAUCUAAGAGGCAUAGCCAGGUAGAAGCAGCCCUAGUCAAUGGCUAGAAGUAUAAUAUCCCAAUAAAAGAGGCAUUCUUAGAAAGCUGGGCAGCAUCUCAGGACCACACAUGAUUGGGGAAAAGGGGUUGGUGAGGGGCAGACCCAGCCAGUUAGGCCUGUAGGUGCUGGGACAGGGUGGGGGAUGCAUUGUACCCACAGAAUAAAGCCAUAAGGGUGAAUAGCAAGAGCCACAUUGUGGAUCACCCUGGAGCAGGUGUCAGAGUGAAGCCUGACAUAUGGAAGCUCUAGGAACACAAUGGUAACCAGGGGAAUAGAGGAAGAAAGAGAGGUUUCAAGGCCUCAGUAAAGCUGAGACUCAGGAACAGCAGGUGUGCACAAGUGCUAAGUGGUCUGGAUUAAUUCACGAGCUGGGUGCCAAUGCCUGGCUCAGCUUCUAUGGGCUCCUGGAGGAUCCUUAAGAGGUGAUAAAGUUCAGGUAAAGACAGUGGACUGGGACCAGGCAGAGCCUGGGAUCCUGG